GAGCUUUCUCAGAUUUCUCAAUGCUUCCUCCUUGUGUGCAUCUGCUUCACUAACUAAGCUAUGGACCCUAGUUUUCCAUUUAAGAUACCAGAGCUUCUGCUCCUCAGCAUGUCUGCUCAUCAACUGAAACUCAACCCCAGCUAAACUGAACUGUUGGUCAUCCCAGGGGAUUUAUCUCCAGGUCACGAACUCAGAAUAACUUUUCACAACUCUCUGAUCUCCCUUUCACCCAAUUCUCACAACCUCUGGAUAACCAUGGACAAUCAACUGUCCUUUUUCUUACAUGUUGCUAAUGUGACACUUUUGUCAUUUCUUCCCUACGACAUCAAAAGGAUUUGACCAUUUCUAUCCACGCAGUUUAGUUGCUCAUUUCAGUCUGUUGUCAUUUUGAGACUGGACUACUGCAAUUCUCUGCUGGCAGGUCUACUCCUGAACUCUAUUUGUCCACUGCAAAUGAUCCACAAUGCAGCUGUGUGUUUAACCAGCCCCACCUUACAGCUGUGCUCCACUAGCUUCUGGUAGUUGAACACAUCAGAUUCAGAACACUGAUGCUUGCUUACAAAGCCAAAAAUGGACCAGCACCUCAGAAACUUUAUCACUCCUUGCACUGCACCACGCUGAGAUCCUCUAGCACUGCUUGACUGGUCCCACCUUCUGUCAGGAUGUCCGGACAGCGAAGUCUUCAAGCGACCGGUGAAGACUUACCUCUUACUGUACGCUGGAGGAGCUGUAUUGCUGUACAAGAGGACUAUUUUGAAGGUGAUAAAUGUAGAUGAUUGCAAAAAGAGCUGGAUUUAAAACCUUUUGAAACCACGUCGUACAUCACACACUACACUCGACACACAACACUAUACACAACAUACUUUAUACACUAUUCACCACACACUAUAUAUCACACACAGCAUACAAUACAAUUUACAUUACACUCUAUACACAUUACACCUUAAAACACACCACACUGUACAACACAUCAUAUACUGCACUUUACACAAUGUAUACCACACACUACACUCUACAAGCCUAUAUUACACAUCACACUGUAUAGUGUACAUAUUAUACACACUGAAUGGAAAUUCAUAAAGGGUGUGUCUAAACUUCUGGAACUAUAUACCUCUGAAACACGUUGUGUAAAGUUUAAUGGGACGUACAUGAUGACAGAAGUUCUUUAUCUCAGGGUCAGUGUGGGGAAUUACACAGCCGAUCAAUACAACGUGGGGCCGAACGCACAUAAAUUAGUCUCUAAUACUUUAUACUUCAAAGCCUUUAGAGAUUUAGAAGCCUGGAUAAAGGUGUGUGUGUGUAUGUGUGUAUGUGUGUGUGUGUGUCUGUGUGUAGCUCUAAUGAAUCGAGGGACGGCGUAAUUGUCUCUGGGAUCUUCAUCAAAUAUGGAUAGAGCUGAGGAGCAAAAUGUUCAUUACACACACACACACACACACACACACACACACCAACCACCAUCGAUCUGGUCAGUACCACGACAUGAAAUCAAUCUGCAAGAGUUCCUAAUAAAGCUAUGGGUUCUCUCCUCCUUCACUACAUCUCUCUAUAUAAAAAUUCCUCCAUCUCUCUCUCUCUCUCUCUCUCUCUCUCUCUCUAUCCUUCGCUCUUGAUUUCACCCUCGCUCACUUUAUAUGUUUUUUUAACUGCUGUCUAGUUCUUUCUAUUGUUCUAUUUUCUAAAUGUUUGUGCAGGAGUGUGCUGGUAUAUAGGUUGAGUGGGUGUGGGAUAUAGUUACCCAUAAUGCACUAUGACAGCGUAUUUCAUUGUAUGUCAUUAAGUCAUCUUUAAUUAACGGACCUCCCCAUAAUUCCUCAUUAGUGCCGUGAAGCUCAUCACUGCUGCUCUCUGACUGGACGUUAAAUUCACUUUGCUCUAAAAUCAAUACGCUGAUUUAUGAUUUUUUUUUUCUUUCCUUCCUCUCACACUAACGCUGCUGACCUUCACAUGAUCCGGAACUGAGCGGAACCGAGUAUGCAGGAUUGCCUCUGAAGAAAUGAGAUGUGAGGCAUCAAAGGACGAGUGACGAUCUUUGAUCAGCUUUUUCUCUCAUCUUUCUAUAAAUAAAUUACAACUCGGAGUCACAGUGUGGAGGAAAAAUGCAGCAGAUCCACUGUCUUACUGCGUUAUGCUUUAUUUUUAUGUGCAGACAAAUCACCUGGAAAACAGGCUAACUAGCUAAUUACCUAAUGUUCGUGACAACUAGAGGCCUAUUGUCAUGGUAACGUCAAAAUGAGUCAUUUAAUAAUUUUAUCUUGAUACCUCUAAAGAAAGCACAUAACUCAGCAAAGCAAAGCUGAUUUAACAAGUAGAAAAUGCAGAUCUAUUGGCAACUAGCAGAAUUUGGGAGGAAGAUUUGUGCCUACGACCAUAGCAAGUAGAAACCAGCGCUUUUUUAGCUAAUAUAUCUUGGUUUGAAUUUGGACUAAAAACAAAAAAACAACAGAAAAUGGGGUCAUUGUAUUGCAAAAUACAAAAAAGAAAAACCUUAUAAUUACUUAAUAAACCAUUCAAAUAAAUGUUAGCUUGCUACCUAACUUCCUAACAAGUUACACAUAAUGGUGUUUCUGGUCAUUAGAAACGUUAAUUGUUUUUGGUAAUUAGUACUAAGCAAGCAUAAAAAACAAAAUUGUCAUCACACUGCAAAAAAAAAAAGAAAAAAAGAAAAACUGGACUAGGUCAAAAGAUCGAAACUAAUUUGUCCCUUUUAUGGCAAAUCAAUUAUCAUUUAAGCCUCUUAAUAGAUUAUCAAUAAUCAGUUACUGCUGGUGUAUGUGUGUGAGUGUGAGUGUGUUUCUGCAUUAAUAUUGAAUGUGCAUAGGGAAUUACACCCCACACUGUACAUUGUAGUAACAUCAGUGUGUAAAGGGUUCCAUCAUGUUGGAGUUAUUUUCCAUAUUUUUACCACUGUGUGUGUGUGUGUGUGUGUGUGUGUGUGUGUGUGUGUGUGUGUGUGUCUGAGUGUGUGUAAGAAACAUUUCCAUUCCUCCAGCCCAAACGGAUGGUUGGCUCAGAGCUUGCAGGAGGAAUGGCGUAGAGUGUACAGCAUCGGUGUUCAGUCUAAGCGGCGCACUGGGAUUAACCAAGCGACGGAUGAAAAGUGUGUGUGUGUGUGUGUUGGUGUGUGCAUUUCUUCGUAAGGCUGCUGAUGGAUUGGAAUUAAACAGCGUGAUGUUUGAAAUAAAGCAGAAGGUGAACAGAGAGGAGAAAAAGCGAAGGAGGAAAAUGAUGAACUGGAAGAGAAUCUGGCAGAAGAUGAAGGAUGAACUGUGGACUAAACAUUUGUGCAGAUUUUUUUUGCUUUGAUGUAUAUUUAUUUUAUGUAUUUUUAUGUAAGCAUUGGCGUGACUAUAGGAACACUAAUUUAAAAAAAUAACUUCAAAAUGGCAUGAGAGUAGCUACAGAGCUGAAGGGGGAAUCUGGCUAAUAUGCUGUAUGAUUAAAUUCUUA
This is a long non-coding RNA of Silurus meridionalis, 3447 nucleotides long. RefSeq lists it as uncharacterized. NCBI's taxonomy places the organism in Eukaryota, Metazoa, Chordata, Actinopteri, Siluriformes, Siluridae. The record is from RefSeq and is a predicted model, not a curated record. The transcript is spliced from 3 exons.